UUUCCGUAGGUGGACCUGCGGAAGGAUCAUUAUUGUAUAACCGAGGUGCGAGGGCUGUCGCUGACCCGAAAGGUCGUGCAAGCACGAGUGCCCUCACACACUUCCAUAUCACCCCCAUGUGCACCACCGCGUGGGUCCCCCUUUGGCUUGUUCGGAGGGGGGCUUCCGUUUUCACACAGACUUUGUAUGCAGUGUAGAAUGUAUUUUUUGUUUUUGCGAUCACGCAAUCAAUACAACUUUCAACAACGGAUCUCUUGGCUCUUGCAUCGAUGAAGAAGG
Molecule: unclassified non-coding RNA, 279 nt
Filed under: plant metagenome
Description: partial contains small subunit ribosomal RNA, internal transcribed spacer 1, and 5.8S ribosomal RNA
Source: RNAcentral